GUCGUUUUGUGUUCUGGAGAGGAACUUCGAUUUUUCCAGACUUGACCCUUAGGGCAAGCAUUACAGAAGCCAGGUUCCCCAAGUUUCCUCCCUGUUCAGAGCAGGUCCCUUCGAUGAAUAGAGAUACUCUCAUUGAAAUGUAAUGUCAGGCUGGCAUACGUCUUUCUUCCGCUGACACUAUUUCCAAGGAUUCUUUGGAAAUAAGGGCAGUCAGAACUUUAUCCUGGUUCUUAUUCUACUCUAGGCCAAACAAGGUUCUUGUUCCUGACAUUCAAGAAGAUGGCCUCCACACAGUGGGAACGUACAAUCUCAUAAUAAACAGGAAUCUAACC
This is a non-coding RNA of Pelobates cultripes (western spadefoot toad), 332 nucleotides long. The record is from the annotation of a GenBank genome assembly. Lineage: Eukaryota; Metazoa; Chordata; Amphibia; Anura; Pelobatidae.